CCUACGGGAGGCAGCAGUAGGGAAUAUUGCUCAAUGGGGGAAACCCUGAAGCAGCAACGCCGCGUGGCGGAUGAAGGUUUUAGGAUUGUAAACUCCUUUUGUGAGAGAAGAUAAUGACGGUACCCCAAUAGCAAGCCACGGCUAACUACGUGCCAGCAGCCGCGGUAAUACGUAGGUGGCAAGCGUUAUCCGGACGGACUGGGCGUAAAGGGUGCGUAGGUGGUUUAGUAAGUUGGCGGUGUAAUUCCGGGGCUCAACCUCGGCGCUACCGCCAAAACUAUUAGACUAGAGUGCAGGAGGGGUAAGUGGAAGUCCUAGUGUAGCGGUGGAAUGCGUAGAUAUUAGGAGGAACAUCAGGGGCGAAGGCGACUUACUGGACUGUAACUGACACUGAGGCACGAAAGCGUGGGGAGCAAACAGGAUUAGAUACCCCUGUAGUC
RNAcentral lists this ribosomal RNA (440 nucleotides) under uncultured bacterium. RNAcentral describes it as "partial 16S ribosomal RNA". It matches the Rfam family "Bacterial small subunit ribosomal RNA", at positions 338 to 795 of the family's 1533-position model. The record is from RNAcentral.